GAUGAACGCUGGCGGCGUGCUUAACACAUGCAAGUCGAACGGUUAAGCCAAGCUUGCUUGGUGGAUCAGUGGCGAACGGGUGAGUAACACGUGAGCAACCUGCCCUGGACUCUGGGAUAAGCGCUGGAAACGGCGUCUAAUACUGGAUAUGAGCCUCUUCCGCAUGGUGGGGGUUGGAAAGAUUUUUUGGUCUGGGAUGGGGUCGCGGCCUAUCCGCUUGUUGGUGAGGUAAUGGCUCACCAAGGCGUCGACGGGUAGCCGGACUGAGAGGGUGACCGGCCACAGUGGGACUGAGACACGGCCCAGACUCCUACGGGAGGCAGCAGUGGGGAAUAUUGCAAAAUGGGCGAAAGCCUGAUGCAGCAACGCCGCGUGAGGGAUGACGGCCUUCGGGUUGUAAACCUCUUUUAGCAGGGAAGAAGCGAAAGUGACGGUACCUGCAGAAAAAGCGCCGGCUAACUACGU
RNAcentral lists this ribosomal RNA (465 nucleotides) under uncultured bacterium. RNAcentral's name for it is "partial 16S ribosomal RNA". It matches the Rfam family "Bacterial small subunit ribosomal RNA", at positions 28 to 506 of the family's 1533-position model. The record is from RNAcentral.